Molecule: long non-coding RNA, 2401 nt
Organism: Cervus hanglu yarkandensis (Yarkand deer)
Lineage: Eukaryota; Metazoa; Chordata; Mammalia; Artiodactyla; Cervidae
Source: Ensembl
GACCAGAAGACAUUCCCGAGAAUCUCAGGACGUCCCUCUCUCCGUUUGAGCCAACCGAGGGGCGGGACAGCUUCCUCCUAGUGGUCCCAGGACCGAGAAGGGGACACGCUCCCAGCAUGUCUGCACGCUCCGACUCCAAGGACCUCGGCAGAGUUCACAAUCAACUCCAGUCACGUGGAAUGUAAUAGACUGCCAACCCUGUGAAGAUCGAGUGACAGAUUCAGCCUGUGGACACCAGCAGGAGGCCUUGGCGCUGAGAAAAUGGAGGUUCAGCCUCCUGGCUCAGCUGCACCCUGACACUCUCCUUGUUCGGCUGGAACCUCCAUCACACAGGCCAGCCCCCAUCAGAUUGGGAUGAGGAACAGAGGCUCACAGACGCUGGCCAGAAGCAUGAGUCUGGAAGGGAUCGGGGGUCCACGAAGAACAAGAAAGAACGCCCCGGCACUGCUGGCCUCCCCCGGUGCCCGGUGUCCGCGGACACACUCGCCCCUGUGCUAAGCCGGGAGACCCAAAGCCAAGCCGCCUGGGUGGGCCCUGAGACCGUCCCGUCACCUGGGGCUGCUGCCUCCGCGGGCGCUCAUUACACGUUACAUUCUUCUUGCAUCAGCAUCGCUCGCGCCGCCUGCAAAGCAGGGACUGAAAGCACCAGAGAGCGAGCGGAGGGCGGCGCGCAGAGAAGAGCCGGGAGCGCACGGUUCGACCGCAGUCGCCUCCGCGGCGAGGAGGGCGCGGGGCGCGCGGAGCUGGGGCCGCACCGGCAGCUGCAGCCUCGCCCCCUCGGGGCGGCCCUAGCUGCACAUGGGGUGCAGCCUCCUGCCCCAACCCGUCUUCUUCCCACGCGCCGACUUGGAGCCCGCGGGCGGCUGAGCCCUGGGCCGGCCUCGGCCUGCGUCCCGGCUCCCGCGCGCCUCUUCCUGCUCUUGCUUCCCGCCGCUUCCUCCUGGGUUUUCGUCUCGGGACGGCGCCCCUCCAGCCUCGGCCGCCGCUCCCCUCCUCUCGGGCUUUGCGGGUCGCUGACGGGGCGGGAGCUGACGCCGCCUGCUCGACCCAGGGCCCUGCAGGCCGUGCGGGCCCGCUUGGGCCAGGGGCUUCCUGGCCGCCGGGUCCUCGGACUAGGACUCCUCGCUCUCCGCGCCCUCCGACGCCUCCUCCGAGCCUGUGUCCUAAGCCCCCUCCGACGCCUCCUCCGACUACCGGUUCCCGCGGGCGGCCUGCAGCGCCAAGACCUCCCCCAGGUGGCCUUUGGAGAAUAUCAACCUCCUGCCCUCCCAGGCCUUUUCCUUUUUUCCCCUCCAUCACCUCAGCCACGUCCUAGGUCGGCCGGAGCGCCGCGAGCUCCAGGAGCCCCUCCCCCAUCUUCCUCCUCAUCCCCCCCAGCUCCCCAGCGGGCCCCAGGGAGCCUUCUUGCCCUUGGAGGAGGUCUAGGGCUCAGCCCUGGUGGAAGUGCCUUCCAGCAGGGUUCCCUAACAUUUCAGGCAUUCCUCAGGACCACGGAGGCCACCUGGCGGCCUGCCUCCUCCACCUUCAUGCGAUUCCGAGGUGUCCUCGGCCAUGAGGACAGGACCUGGAGCAGGACCUCUCGUCUUCCUUGUCCUUCAGCCCAGCGACUCCAUCACAGAAACCAUUUUCAACAUCUCCCUGCGAGUUUUGGUGUCUGAUGAAAUCCCAUGGGCCAAGAUGGCUAGAGCUUGGGGUCCUCCACAUCCUUCUGGGUGACCUGGCCGUCUCACUUCUAGGACCAACCUCCAGAAGAGUCACUGCCCUCAAGCAGCUCAUCAGGUGUGUCCCUCUUGACCACAAGAACCACCAGGUCAGGAUGUCGCUCUUGGCUCCUCUGACGGACAGGCUCAUCAAACCAAAGGGCUCUUUCUCUGUCACCUCCUUCUUGGUUUUGUCCAAAAGAGUCACAUGGCCAAGAACUCCAUGGGGACCCUCUGCCUCAUUCAUGUCUCUGCAGGCCUUCCUUGCAGCCCGUCUGGAGUGUUGUGUGCGGCACAACACUCGGGGACUGUCCUUGUCAUUUGUCCCCACCCAAGUCCUCCUCUUCCACCUCUGCCAUCCUGAUGCAGGCUCUGAGGGAAGAAGGGUCCUUUGAAUCACUUUCUGCAGAGGUACAUGGCUGCCCUCCACGGCCCCUUUUUUGGCCUCUGGCUCUAUUUCUGUGACCCUCAGCUUACUACCGUGCUAGCCUUGCUGGCUGCUCCAGAAAGGGGGACCGGGUCUUCUAAUUAGGAGGGGUGUCCCCAGGGGCUCUGGCCUCUGUAGCUUGUGGGGCCUUCCAACCAGCAGCUAUCGUUUCAUCUGCCUCAGGGCACUCAUGUCCUCGGAGCGAUCCUUGUACAGAAUCCUCCAGAUGCCGUCCUUGUCCGGAAUCUCCUUGGGAGGGGUGUGGUUAAUGUCC